Molecule: small RNA, 68 nt
Filed under: Mesobacillus foraminis
Lineage: Bacteria; Bacillati; Bacillota; Bacilli; Caryophanales; Bacillaceae
Description: Bacillus foraminis Bacillaceae-1 RNA
Rfam family: Bacillaceae-1 RNA
Source: Rfam by way of RNAcentral
UUAGAAGGAACGUCAACUAAGAUCCGCAACGUCCUGUUGCGAACGUUGACGUUAGCACAUCCUGUGCA